GAUGAACGCUGGCGGCGUGCCUAAUACAUGCAAGUCGAGCGAACAGACGAGGAGCUUGCUCCUCUGACGUUAGCGGCGGACGGGUGAGUAACACGUGGAUAACCUACCUAUAAGACUGGGAUAACUUCGGGAAACCGGAGCUAAUACCGGAUAAUAUAUUGAACCGCAUGGUUCAAUAGUGAAAGACGGUUUUGCUGUCACUUAUAGAUGGAUCCGCGCCGCAUUAGCUAGUUGGUAAGGUAACGGCUUACCAAGGCAACGAUGCGUAGCCGACCUGAGAGGGUGAUCGGCCACACUGGAACUGAGACACGGUCCAGACUCCUACGGGAGGCAGCAGUAGGGAAUCUGCCGCAAUGGGCGAAAGCCUUACGCAGCAACGCCGCGUGAGUGAUGAAGGUCUUCGGAUCGUAAAACUCUGUUAUUAGGGAAGAACAAAUGUGUAAGUAACUAUGCACGUCUUGACGGUACCUAAUCAGAAAGCCACGGCUAACUACGUG
This 497-nucleotide ribosomal RNA is filed under the name uncultured bacterium. RNAcentral's name for it is "partial 16S ribosomal RNA". It matches the Rfam family "Bacterial small subunit ribosomal RNA", at positions 28 to 507 of the family's 1533-position model. The record is from RNAcentral.